This 508-nucleotide ribosomal RNA is filed under the name uncultured bacterium. Its description in RNAcentral is "partial 16S ribosomal RNA". It matches the Rfam family "Bacterial small subunit ribosomal RNA", at positions 30 to 523 of the family's 1533-position model. The record is from RNAcentral.
AUUGAAUGCUGGCGGCAGGCCUAACACAUGCAAGUCGAGCGGCAGCGGGAAAGUAGCUUGCUACUUUUGCCGGCGAGCGGCGGACGGGUGAGUAAUGCCUGGGAAAUUGCCCAGUCGAGGGGGAUAACAGUUGGAAACGACUGCUAAUACUGCAUACGCCCUACGGGGGAAAGCAGGGGACCUUCGGGCCUUGCGCGAUUGGAUAUGCCAAGGUGGGAUUAGCUAGUUGGUGAGGUAAUGGCUCACCAAGGCGACGAUCCCUAGCUGGUCUGAGAGGAUGAUCAGCCACACUGGAACUGAGACACGGUCCAGACUCCUACGGGAGGCAGCAGUGGGGAAUAUUGCACAAUGGGGGAAACCCUGAUGCAGCCAUGCCGCGUGUGUGAAGAAGGCCUUCGGGUUGUAAAGCACUUUCAGCGAGGAGGAAAGGUUGAUGCCUAAUACGCAUCAACUGUGACGUUACUCGCAGAAGAAGUACCGGCUAACUCCGUGCCAGCCGCCGCCGUAA